This 523-nucleotide ribosomal RNA is filed under the name Amecocerus giraudii. Its description in RNAcentral is "partial 16S ribosomal RNA". The stretch from base 387 to 523 matches the Rfam family "Bacterial large subunit ribosomal RNA", at positions 2473 to 2610 of the family's 2925-position model. The record is from RNAcentral. Lineage: Eukaryota; Metazoa; Arthropoda; Insecta; Coleoptera; Melyridae.
CAUGUCCUUUUGAUAUUAAUAUAAGGUUUAAUCUGCCCACUGAAAAAUUAAAUGGCCGCAGUAAUUUGACUGUGCUAAGGUAGCAUAAUAAAUAGUUUUUUAAUUGAAAGCUGGUAUGAAUGAUUGGAUGAGAUAAUAGCUGUCUCUAAUUUAUUUAAUUAGAAUUUUAUUUUUAAGUAAAAAAGCUUAAAUAAUUUUAAAAGACGAGAAGACCCUAUAGAGUUUAAUAAUUUUAUAAUUUUAUAAAAAAUUAAUUUAAAUUUUUUAAUUUUUAAAAUUAUUUGGUUGGGGUGAUUGAAAAAUUUGAUAAACUUUUUUUUUAUUUAAACAUAAAUUUAUGAAUAAUUGAUCCAUUAAUUAUGAUUAUAAGAAUAAAUUACCUUAGGGAUAACAGCGUAAUUUUUUUUUAGAGUUCUUAUCGAAAAAAAAGGUUGCUACCUCGAUGUUGGAUUAAAGUUAAAUUUUGGUGUAGAAGCUAANNAUUUAAGUCUGUUCGACUUUUAAAACUUUACAUGAUCUGAGU